Long non-coding RNA from Cyprinus carpio carpio, 438 nucleotides. The record is from Ensembl. Lineage: Eukaryota; Metazoa; Chordata; Actinopteri; Cypriniformes; Cyprinidae.
UGUCCGAGGCCGAGGCGGUGCCUGAUGCCGAGGCGGUGCCCGAGGCGGUGCCUGAUGCGGUGGCCGAGGCGGUUCCCGAUGCAAUGUCCGAUGCCGAGGCGGUGCCCGAUGCCGAGGCGGUGCCCGAGGCGAUGGCCGAGGCGGUGGUCGAGGCAGAGGCGGUUCCCGAUGCGAUGCCCGAGGCCGAGGCGGUGGCCGAGGCAGAGGCGGUGCCCGAUGCGGUGCCAGAGACGGUGCCAGAGACGGUUCCCGAUGUAAUGCCCGAGACCGAGGCUGUUCCGGAGGUCGAGGCGGUGCCCGAUGUUGUUCCCGAUGCCGAGGCGGUGGCCGAUGCCGUUCCGCAGGUCGAGGCGGUGGCCGAUGCCGUUCCGCAGGUCGAGGCGGUGGCCGAUGCCGUUCCGCAGGUCGAGGCGGUGGCCGAUGCCGUUCCGCAGGUCG